Long non-coding RNA from Daphnia pulicaria, 570 nucleotides. RefSeq lists it as uncharacterized. The record is from RefSeq and is a predicted model, not a curated record. The transcript is spliced from 2 exons. Lineage: Eukaryota; Metazoa; Arthropoda; Branchiopoda; Diplostraca; Daphniidae.
UCGUGUGUCUCGCUGCCUGUAGUCGUACGUCUCAUCCCAUGCAACAGCAUAAGUCUAACAACCACAUUGCACGCUGCAGCCAGAUGGUGAAAGGUGUGAUGAAGAAAAGUUCAACCGUUGUAUGCAGGAUGUGGUGCCCGUGUUAUCCAGAAGUAGCUGUGCUGGAGUUAUUCCGAAGCAGCUGAGCCAGAAUUUGUGCAAAUUGCUGACUUCAAAAUUUUAACUUCUUUCAUUUGUGUUUUUUGCUUUGCAAGUGGUAUCCGUGGUGCUGAUUUGAAAUAUUUUUAUCCCCUUUUAUUUGUGGUUUUGCUCUGCCAGUGAGUUUCUGACUUGAAUUUGUUUCAUCUGUCGUCUUUUGCGUUUUUACUUGGGCAGUAUACGAUUAUGGCAAACUGAUUCUAUGUCAGUUUUGAUACAGUCGACAACUGCUAGAUUAAAUUCCGGCUUUCCGCACCAACUAAAUAAUAACGGCACAUGUUAUUAUCGCGGUUGGGAAAGUCACAGGCCUCCCCCUCCCUGGGGGCCAUAAAAUAUAUAUGUGGGUGUGUUAAAAUAAAUAAAAAAAGUAAA